Molecule: ribosomal RNA, 1353 nt
Filed under: Mycobacterium sp. DWMJ-868A2
Lineage: Bacteria; Bacillati; Actinomycetota; Actinomycetes; Mycobacteriales; Mycobacteriaceae
Description: bacterial SSU rRNA
Rfam family: Bacterial small subunit ribosomal RNA
Source: RNAcentral
UCGGAGGUACUCGAGUGGCGAACGGGUGAGUAACACGUGGGCAAUCUGCCCUGCACUUCGGGAUAAGCCUGGGAAACUGGGUCUAAUACCGGAUAGGACCUCAAGACGCAUGUCUUCUGGUGGAAAGCUUUUGCGGUGUGGGAUGGGCCCGCGGCCUAUCAGCUUGUUGGUGGGGUGACGGCCUACCAAGGCGACGACGGGUAGCCGGCCUGAGAGGGUGUCCGGCCACACUGGGACUGAGAUACGGCCCCAGACUCCUACGGGAGGCAGCAGUGGGGAAUAUUGCACAAUGGGCGCAAGCCUGAUGCAGCGACGCCGCGUGGGGGAUGACGGCCUUUCGGGUUGUAAACCUCUUUCACCAUCGACGAAGGUCCGGGUUUUCUCGGAUUGACGGUAGGUGGAGAAGAAGCACCGGCCAACUACGUGCCAGCAGCCGCGGUAAUACGUAGGGUGCGAGCGUUGUCCGGAAUUACUGGGCGUAAAGAGCUCGUAGGUGGUUUGUCGCGUUGUUCGUGAAAUCUCACGGCUUAACUGUGAGCGUGCGGGCGAUACGGGCAGACUAGAGUACUGCAGGGGAGACUGGAAUUCCUGGUGUAGCGGUGGAAUGCGCAGAUAUCAGGAGGAACACCGGUGGCGAAGGCGGGUCUCUGGGCAGUAACUGACGCUGAGGAGCGAAAGCGUGGGGAGCGAACAGGAUUAGAUACCCUGGUAGUCCACGCCGUAAACGGUGGGUACUAGGUGUGGGUUUCCUUCCUUGGGAUCCGUGCCGUAGCUAACGCAUUAAGUACCCCGCCUGGGGAGUACGGCCGCAAGGCUAAAACUCAAAGGAAUUGACGGGGGCCCGCACAAGCGGCGGAGCAUGUGGAUUAAUUCGAUGCAACGCGAAGAACCUUACCUGGGUUUGACAUGCACAGGACGCGUCUAGAGAUAGGCGUUCCCUUGUGGCCUGUGUGCAGGUGGUGCAUGGCUGUCGUCAGCUCGUGUCGUGAGAUGUUGGGUUAAGUCCCGCAACGAGCGCAACCCUUGUCUCAUGUUGCCAGCGGGUAAUGCCGGGGACUCGUGAGAGACUGCCGGGGUCAACUCGGAGGAAGGUGGGGAUGACGUCAAGUCAUCAUGCCCCUUAUGUCCAGGGCUUCACACAUGCUACAAUGGCCGGUACAAAGGGCUGCGAUGCCGUAAGGUUAAGCGAAUCCUUUUAAAGCCGGUCUCAGUUCGGAUUGGGGUCUGCAACUCGACCCCAUGAAGUCGGAGUCGCUAGUAAUCGCAGAUCAGCAACGCUGCGGUGAAUACGUUCCCGGGCCUUGUACACACCGCCCGUCACGUCAUGAAAGUCGGUAACACCCGAAGCCAGUG